Acanthosepion pharaonis is the source of this 107-nucleotide non-coding RNA. The record is from the annotation of a GenBank genome assembly. Lineage: Eukaryota; Metazoa; Mollusca; Cephalopoda; Sepiida; Sepiidae.
UUACGGUCAUAACACAUUGAAACAUUGGUUCUCGUACCGAUGUUAAGCAACGUCGAACCUGAUCAGUACCUAGAUGGGUGACCGCUUGGGAGUACCAGGUGCUGUAA